UACGAAGGGGGCUAGCGUUGUUCGGAAUUACUGGGCGUAAAGCGCACGUAGGCGGAUUUUUAAGUCAGGGGUGAAAUCCCGAGGCUCAACCUCGGAACUGCCUUUGAUACUGGAGAUCUUGAGUUCGGAAGAGGUUGGUGGAACAGCUAGUGUAGAGGUGAAAUUCGUAGAUAUUAGCUAGAACACCAGUGGCGAAGGCGGCUCACUGGUCCGGUACUGACGCUGAGGUGCGAAAGCGUGGGGAGCAAACAGG
RNAcentral lists this ribosomal RNA (253 nucleotides) under uncultured bacterium. RNAcentral describes it as "partial 16S ribosomal RNA". It matches the Rfam family "Bacterial small subunit ribosomal RNA", at positions 524 to 776 of the family's 1533-position model. The record is from RNAcentral.